RNAcentral lists this ribosomal RNA (402 nucleotides) under uncultured bacterium. Its description in RNAcentral is "bacterial SSU rRNA". It matches the Rfam family "Bacterial small subunit ribosomal RNA", at positions 355 to 774 of the family's 1533-position model. The record is from RNAcentral.
UGGGGAAUCUUGCACAAUGGGGGCAACCCCGAUGCAGCGACGCCGCGUGAGCGAUGAAGCACUUCGGGGCGUAAAGCUCUUUCGACCGGAACGAUAAUGACGGUACCGGGAGAAGAAGCUGCGGCUAACUACGUGCCAGCAGCCGCGGUAAUACGUAGGCAGCAAGCGUUGUUCGGAGUUACUGGGCGUAAAGAGUGCGUAGGCGGUUUUCUGAGUUCGGUGUGAAAUCUCCCGGCUUAACUGGGAGGGUGCGCCGAAGACUGGGAAGCUGGAGUGUGGGAAAGGCAGGCGGAAUUCCUGGUGUAGCGGUGAAAUGCGUAGAUAUCAGGAGGAACACCGGCGGUGUAGACGGCUUACUAGACCAUAACUGACGCUGAGGCACGAAAGCGUGGGUAGCAAACA